This 1185-nucleotide ribosomal RNA is filed under the name uncultured fungus. Its description in RNAcentral is "eukaryotic LSU rRNA". The stretch from base 534 to 1185 matches the Rfam family "Eukaryotic large subunit ribosomal RNA", at positions 1 to 667 of the family's 3401-position model. Lineage: Eukaryota; Fungi. The record is from RNAcentral.
CUUGGUCAUUUAGAGGAAGUAAAAGUCGUAACAAGGUUUCCGUAGGUGAACCUGCGGAAGGAUCAUUACAGAGUUCUUGCCCAUACGGGUAGAAUCUCCACCCUUGUAAAUAUAAAUAUCUGUUGCUUUGGCGGGACGUGCGCCCAGCGUCCCCUGGUUUCGGCCAGGUGUGCCCGCCAGAGGACCCAAAACUCUGAAUUAUUAUGUCGUCUGAGUACUAUAAAAUAGUUAAAACUUUCAACAACGGAUCUCUUGGUUCUGGCAUCGAUGAAGAACGCAGCGAAAUGCGAUAAGUAAUGUGAAUUGCAGAAUUCAGUGAAUCAUCGAAUCUUUGAACGCACAUUGCGCCCCUUGGUAUUCCGGGGGGCAUGCCUGUUCGAGCGUCAUUAUGACCAAUCCAGUUCGCUGGGUCUUGGGCUUCGCCAUCUGGCGAGCUUUAAAACUAGUGGCGGUGCUCUUAAGCUCUACGCGUAGUAAUUUAUCUCGCUCUAGGUCUUGGGAGAUGCUUGCCAUCAACCCCAAAUUUUUAAGGUUGACCUCGGAUCAGGUAGGGAUACCCGCUGAACUUAAGCAUAUCAAUAAGCGGAGGAAAAGAAACCAACAGGGAUUACCUCAGUAACGGCGAGUGAAGCGGUAACAGCUCAAAUUUGAAAUCUGGCUCUUUCAGGGUCCGAGUUGUAAUUUGUAGAAGAUGCUUUGGGUAUAGCUCUAGUCUAGGUUCCUUGGAACAGGACGUCAUAGAGGGUGAGAAUCCCGUAUGUGAUUAGGCGCUUUUGCCCGUGUAAAGCUCUUUCGACGAGUCGAGUUGUUUGGGAAUGCAGCUCAAAAUGGGUGGUAAAUUUCAUCUAAAGCUAAAUAUUGGCCAGAGACCGAUAGCGCACAAGUAGAGUGAUCGAAAGAUGAAAAGCACUUUGGAAAGAGAGUUAAACAGUACGUGAAAUUGUUGAAAGGGAAGCGCUUGCAACCAGACUCGCAUUCCGUCGAUCAUCUGGGGUUUUCCCCAGUGCACUCGGCGGUAUUCGGGCCAGCAUCGGUUUGGGUGGUGGGAUAAAGGCCUUGGGAAUGUAGCUCCUCUCGGGGAGUGUUAUAGCCCUCGGUGCAAUGCCGCCUACCUGGACCGAGGACCGCGCUUCGGCUAGGAUGCUGGCGUAAUGGUUGUAAGCGACCCGUCUUGAAACACGGACC